Molecule: ribosomal RNA, 1460 nt
Filed under: Candidatus Curculioniphilus buchneri
Lineage: Bacteria; Pseudomonadati; Pseudomonadota; Gammaproteobacteria; Enterobacterales; Enterobacteriaceae
Description: bacterial SSU rRNA
Rfam family: Bacterial small subunit ribosomal RNA
Source: RNAcentral
AGCGGCAGACCUAACACAUGCAAGUCGAGCGGCAACGGAAAGAAGUCUACUUCUUUGCCGGCAAGCGGCGUACGGGUGAGUAAUAUCUGGGGAUCUGCCCAAUGGAGGGGGAUAACUACUGGAAACGGUAGCUAAUACCGCAUAAUGUCGUAAGACCAAAGUGAGGGACUCUUUGAGCCUCAUGCCAUUGGAUGAACUCAGAUGGGAUUAGCUAGUAGGUGAGGUAAAGGCUCACCUAGGCGACGAUCCCUAGCUGGUCUGAGAGGAUGACCAGCCACACUGGAACUGAGACACGGUCCAGACUCCUACGGGAGGCAGCAGUGGGGAAUAUUGCACAAUGGGGGAAACCCUGAUGCAGUCAUGCCGCGUGUGUGAAGAAGGCCUUCGGGUUGUAAAGCACUUUCAGUGGGGAAGAAGUUAAUAAUGUUAAUAACAUUAUUAAUUGACGUUACCCACAGUAAGAAGCACCGGCUAACUCCGUGCCAGCAGCCGCGGUAAUACGGAGGGUGCAAGCGUUAAUCGGAAUUACUGGGCGUAAAGAGUACGUAGGCGGUUUGUUAAGUCAGAUGUGAAAGCCCUGGGCUUAACCUAGGAAUGGUGUUUGAAACUGACAAACUAGAGUUUCGUAGAGGGAGGUAGAAUUCCAGGUGUAGCGGUGAAAUGCGUAGAGAUCUGGAGGAAUAUCAGUGGCGAAGGCGGCCUCCUGGACGGAAACUGACGCUCAGGUAUGAAAGCAUGGGGAGCAAACAGGAUUAGAUACCCUGGUAGUCCAUGCCGUAAACGAUGUCGAUUUGAAGGUUGUAGCCUUUGAGCUGUGGCUUUCGAAGCUAACGCAUUAAAUCGACCGCCUGGGGAGUACGACCGCAAGGUUAAAACUCAAAUGAAUUGACGGGGGCCCGCACAAGCGGUGGAGCAUGUGGUUUAAUUCGAUGCAACGCGAAGAACCUUACCUACUCUUGACAUCCAGAGAAUUUGGCAGAGAUGCCUUAGUGCCUUCGGGAACUUUGAGACAGGUGCUGCAUGGCUGUCGUCAGCUCGUGUUGUGAAAUGUUGGGUUAAGUCCCGCAACGAGCGCAACCCUUGCCCUUUGUUGCCAGCGAUACGGUCGGGAACUCAAAGGAGACUGCCGGUGAUAAACCGGAGGAAGGUGGGGACGACGUCAAGUCAUCAUGGCCCUUACGAGUAGGGCUACACACGUGCUACAAUGGUGCAUACAAAGAGAAGCAAUCUCGCGAGAGUUAGCCAAUCUCACCAAAGUGUAUCGUAGUUCGGAUUGGAGUCUGCAACUCGACUCCAUGAAGUCGGAAUCGCUAGUAAUCGUGUAUCAGAAUGUCACGGUGAAUACGUUCCCGGGCCUUGUACACACCGCCCGUCACACCAUGGGAGUGGAUUGCAAAAGAAGUAAGUAGCUUAACCUUUUUUGGAGGGCGCUUACCACUUUGUGAUUCAUGACUGGGGUG